Molecule: ribosomal RNA, 400 nt
Filed under: phytoplankton environmental sample
Lineage: Eukaryota
Description: partial small subunit ribosomal RNA
Rfam family: Eukaryotic small subunit ribosomal RNA
Source: RNAcentral
AGCUCCAAUAGCGUAUACUAACGUUGUUGUGGUUAAAAAGCUCGUAGUUGGAUUUCUGGUGUGGUGCGCCUGAUCCGAAAGCCUUUGCGCUUUUGAGUAUCGGAGCGCGCCUACCAUCUUUCUAGAGAGUGUUCCUUCCUUUCAUUAGGCGGGCGCACAAUCUGGAUCGUUUACUUUGAAUAAAUUAGAGUGUUUAAAGCAGGCUUACGCUGUGAAUACAUUAGCAUGGAAUAAUAAGAUAGGACUUUGGUUCUAUUUUGUUGGUUUCUAGGACUGAAGUAAUGAUUGAUAGGGAUAGUUGGGGGUGCUAGUAUUUGACGGCCAGAGGUGAAAUUCAGUGAUUCGUCAAAGACUAACUAAUGCGAAAGCAUUCACCAAGGAUGUCUUCUUUAAUCAAGAA